AUCCAAAUGAUGAGUCCUAAAUAAAACGAAACCUAUGUCCUGGAU
Schistosoma haematobium is the source of this 45-nucleotide non-coding RNA. NCBI's taxonomy places the organism in Eukaryota, Metazoa, Platyhelminthes, Trematoda, Strigeidida, Schistosomatidae. The record is from Rfam.